RNAcentral lists this transfer RNA (72 nucleotides) under Ovis aries (sheep). It matches the Rfam family "tRNA". From Rfam's summary of the family: Transfer RNA (tRNA) molecules are approximately 80 nucleotides in length. Their secondary structure includes four short double-helical elements and three loops (D, anti-codon, and T loops). Lineage: Eukaryota; Metazoa; Chordata; Mammalia; Artiodactyla; Bovidae. The record is from Rfam by way of RNAcentral.
UCCCUGGUAGCUGAAACAGUAAAGAACCUGCCUGCAAUGCAGGAGACCUGGGUUUGAUUCCUGGCUUCAGAA